GAUGAACGCUGGCGGCGUGCCUAAUACAUGCAAGUCGAGCGAACAGACGAGGAGCUUGCUCCUCUGACGUUAGCGGCGGACGGGUGAGUAACACGUGGAUAACCUACCUAUAAGACUGGGAUAACUUCGGGAAACCGGAGCUAAUACCGGAUAAUAUCUUGAACCGCAUGGUUCAAUAGUGAAAGACGGUUUUGCUGUCCCUUAUAGAUGGAUCCGCGCCGCAUUAGCUAGUUGGUAAGGUAACGGCUUACCAAGGCAACGAUGCGUAGCCGACCUGAGAGGGUGAUCGGCCACACUGGAACGGAGACACGGUCCAGACUCCUACGGGAGGCAGCAGUAGGGAAUCUUCCGCAAUGGGCGAAAGCCUGACGGAGCAACGCCGCGUGAGUGAUGAAGGUCUUCGGAUCGUAAAACUCUGUUAUUAGGGAAGAACAAAUGUGUAAGUAACUAUGCACGUCUUGACGGUACCUAAUCAGAAAGCCACGGCUAACUACGUG
This 497-nucleotide ribosomal RNA is filed under the name uncultured bacterium. Its description in RNAcentral is "partial 16S ribosomal RNA". It matches the Rfam family "Bacterial small subunit ribosomal RNA", at positions 28 to 507 of the family's 1533-position model. The record is from RNAcentral.